UCCGGUGGCAAUAGCGGAGGUUAAAAACCCGUUCCCAUACCGAACACGGUCCCAAAUCGGGGUCCCCCGAAAAGUCGCAAGACUUUUUGGGGUGAUAGUGAAGCCCUCCAGCGCCGAUGGUACUGAUUACUCGGGAGAGUAGGUCGCUGCCGGUA
Thermoanaerobacterium saccharolyticum JW/SL-YS485 is the source of this 155-nucleotide non-coding RNA. The record is from Rfam. Lineage: Bacteria; Bacillati; Bacillota; Clostridia; Thermoanaerobacterales; Thermoanaerobacteraceae.